AGUCGAGGGGCAGCACGAUGUAGCAAUACAUUGGUGGCGACCGGCGCACGGGUGAGUAACGCGUAUGCAACCUACCUAUCAGAGGGGAAUAACCCGGCGAAAGUCGGACUAAUACCGCAUAAAACAGGGGUUCCACAUGGAAAUAUUUGUUAAAGAAUUAUCGCUGAUAGAUGGGCAUGCGUUCCAUUAGAUAGUUGGUGAGGUAACGGCUCACCAAGUCCACGAUGGAUAGGGGUUCUGAGAGGAAGGUCCCCCACACUGGUACUGAGACACGGACCAGACUCCUACGGGAGGCAGCAGUGAGGAAUAUUGGUCAAUGGGCGAGAGCCUGAACCAGCCAAGUCGCGUGAAGGAUGAAGGAUCUAUGGUUUGUAAACUUCUUUUAUAUGGGAAUAAAGUGAGGAACGUGUUCCUUUUUGUAUGUACCAUAUGAAUAAGCAUCGGCUAACUCCGUGCCAGCAGCCGCGGUAAUACGGAGGAUGCGAGCGUUAUCCGGAUUUAUUGGGUUUAAAGGGUGCGUAGGUGGUUAAUUAAGUCAGCGGUGAAAGUUUGUGGCUCAACCAUAAAAUUGCCGUUGAAACUGGUUAACUUGAGUAUAUUUGAGGUAGGCGGAAUGCGUGGUGUAGCGGUGAAAUGCAUAGAUAUCACGCAGAACUCCGAUUGCGAAGGCAGCUUACUAAACUAUAACUGACACUGAAGCACGAAAGCGUGGGGAUCAAACAGGAUUAGAUACCCUGGUAGUCCACGCAGUAAACGAUGA
RNAcentral lists this ribosomal RNA (760 nucleotides) under uncultured bacterium. RNAcentral's name for it is "bacterial SSU rRNA". It matches the Rfam family "Bacterial small subunit ribosomal RNA", at positions 60 to 812 of the family's 1533-position model. The record is from RNAcentral.